RNAcentral lists this ribosomal RNA (122 nucleotides) under Helianthus annuus (common sunflower). The record is from RNAcentral. Lineage: Eukaryota; Viridiplantae; Streptophyta; Magnoliopsida; Asterales; Asteraceae.
GGUCGCGAUCAUAACAGCACUAAUGCACCGGAUCCUAUCAGAACUCCGCAGUCAAGCGUGCUUGGGCGAGAUUUGUACUAGGAUGGGUGACCCCCCUGGGAAGUCCUCGUGUUGCAACCCCG